Non-coding RNA from Varroa destructor (honeybee mite), 6057 nucleotides. The record is from RefSeq and is a predicted model, not a curated record. Lineage: Eukaryota; Metazoa; Arthropoda; Arachnida; Mesostigmata; Varroidae.
CAGGUUGUUGGACCCGGCAGGCGAGCAGGAACGGGCCCCUCUUGAUUACGUUAGUUCGCCACCUCGGGCAGGAACAGAACAGCCUACAGCCGCACCUCCGUCGUGUCGACGGCGGAGCCUGUCUGGCACUAGUAACAACCAGGCCCAAUCCAACGUUGCUACUGGUCUCUAUCAAGAAGAACACGACCCACGUCGUACACGAUAGUCAGGACUAUUGGCAGGGUCUACGAGGCCAUCUCAUGAAGAAAUAUAUAGGUGGUAAAGACUUUGCGGUCGUUUGGUGGUUUACGCUACUUCAUUACGAAUUCGAGCGCGAUAGCCCGCCAGGUAGCAACCAACACUGAUCUUGAAACUCAGAGAUCCAAAAGCUAAGCAUUAUUGGGUGCACGAAUACGAGUCUGAUCCUGACACACUUAGGCACCUUUGUCGUAUUCAAUCGUUUUAUGACCAGGUCGUACGUUUAUGUAGCCCAGUAACCAGCACUGUGCGUAAUGCCGCUGCUGCUUAACUUGGCCUCUAUUUUCUGUGGACCGGACCGAGUCGAUAACUGCCUUAGGGGAACCUUCACGCUUCAACGAAUUGCUAUGUUUGUUUUGACAAGUUAUUACAGAUUUCGCUAUGUUUUGAGUUUUACGUCAGGUAUCACCGUUAGGUGUCGUGGCUCGCAGCACGAAGCGCAGAUCACACCGUAACCCUAAAAUUGGCAGACAAAUACGGCACCCACUAAGUUAUCACGGGCACACGUCCAGUUCCCUUUUUCUAGUGGUCCUUUUUCUAAAGUUCAUGAAAUACUCGAAAAGAAAAAAACUUUCAGGUAACCAAUGCAAUCCAAGAAAACGCACGGGCAUUGAAUGUAGCUGGGAUGGCUUCGAAGGAAACUGAUGGGACUUGAAGGAUUAAGCCAUGUGCAGUUCGUAUGUAGCUAAAUUUUCGGCACAUCUUUGACACUGUAACAUGGUUCAGAAGUAAGCAUUCGUUCGUUCGUCUUUUCUCUGUCUUGUUUUUUAUGGCCGCAAACCAGGGUUUGAAGCACCCAGUGCAUGUGAUCACACGCGCUGGUUACGACGCGAAAACCGCCACCUGAUGAUUAUUUAUGACUAGGCAUAUGUUAUUCUGGAGAAACGACUUUUCUAUUUACAGGCAAGCUAUAUCUUACUAUUUUUCUUGCAUAGUUAGAUUCGACCCAAGUAAAAUUCAAGCCUCUUCGAAAUACGUAAAUUGCGAAAGUGUCUAUAAUUUGGCUCAUCAUAGAACUCAAAGUAUGCGCCUGUCAAAUGUUAGAACAACUUAUAAAUACGAACUGGAGUUAAACGAGCGCAUAGCUUUCAUACUGUCCUCAACUUAUUCUCGUUCUUCGUGAUACCUCGCAUUGAACUUCAAUAGAUCCUGUGCCUCAGUUAAUCCUCUGCACUAAACGAAUACACAGAUAUAUAAUAUUAUCCGAACCGAAAAAAUAAAAAGAUAUUUCAGUUCUUUUUGUUCGUGUUUUAUACAUAAAUCGAUUUAUUUCAACACGGCAACAGGUAACAUGAUUUUACAUCAUUUACAAAACAAAGCACAUAUAUACUUCUUACCAAUCAUCGUAGCGAGUUUUUAUAGCAUCGUAGUUAUCAUUGUUAUUAUUAUUAUUAUUAUCAUAGCAGUAUCAGUUUCAGUAUCAUAUCUAUUUACACACAAAAGAGGGGUCGCUAUUGAGGUAUCGUUCGUGCUACUUGCAAAGUGUAUUCUAUUGCUAUAAACAUUAUUAUUCCUAUACAUUUAUUAUAAACUAUCAACGGAAUAGUUCGGUCGUGGUCGCAUGAUAACGCAGACGAGUAUUUCAGAUCAAAGGGAUAAAAAUGAGUCAAGGGGAUUUUUUUUAGCAGUUCCAUUACAUCCAGCAGUAGCUAUUCAUCAUUAGAACAUUGGAAUUUAUAUGAAUUAACUAGUUUAGACGGAUGUAUAAAGUCUUUGGGGGGUGCCGUAAGGGGCUUUCGAGCACAUCAUUCGACGCGGUCAAAUUCGAAAAGGAAAACUUAUCUAGAAAUGAACAGAUUUACAGCUACUGUGAGCCUGUGCUGCGCGCAAGGUUGCGUGAUAGCACGAAAUUUUUAUUGGCAUAUUAAGUAAUCGCUGACAAUGCCUCAAGUUCAGCCAUCUGCAGAGAUGGAGCGUGACGUUCGAACAGGAUAGACUCGUUUCAUGUUUUGAUUUCGUGUUGCAUCCCGUGUGUAGCGCAUAGAAAAUCGUAUUAUUUAAGGAUUUUGUUGCUCGCCGGAAAGUUAUAACAAUAAUAACCAGAGAGUACAACUUGCCGGUAGGGCUUAGAAGCUUUGCUGCCAUUGCCUGAUGAUGCUUCCAUGCCAUUACCAGAUAAUGCGCAGCAGGUACUUGACUCUACAUACUACAAAGAAGAAUUUUUCAAAACAGUACCUAGCAAGUAUCGACAUAAGAACUAUGCAUGCUUCACCAUAUUUGAUCAGUGAAAUAGCAAACGAUACUGAAAAACACAUACCUAUUUCACAGACAUACACUCACUGCGAUCUAUUAACAACAACUCCCUUAAAGGUUGUCGUAUUACUCUGCUUGUUGCUAAAUGUCGAUUUCUUCGUCAUCGUUGUAUUAAGCAAUCUUUGUAAGAUACACAUGAUGGAAAAUAUCUAAGGUUAUACAUAUGUGGCCGCAUUCUUUUUAAAAUAUUCUUCAGUCGUACGUUGUUUUUAGGCUUCUUUUGCAGGUAUAUAUUCACAUUGGGUAUCUGGGUAGGUUCGAAUACGCUGCAUCUUUUCUCCAUUCGAUUGUGGGUCGCCUCCCAAGAUCAGCCUUGGAACCAAGCCGAGUUGCUAUCUUUAUUGAUCACACUGUACGAGGAAGAAGAAGAUUGUCGGACACACAUAUCUGCGCAUCGCGAUACUCGGUUUUGCCUUCUCGGCUUCUGCCGCUGUCGACUUGACGUGUCGACUGACACAAAUCACCCUUUGGAGCGAGGUCGAGGACGCCGAAAAGUAACCCCACGAGAUAGAGUCCAGAAGGCUGGGUUAUUCUUGUCGCCCGUUCUCUCAUUAUCGAUGUUUCUCUAUUUGUAGCCAUCGGCUACACCCGGCGAUUUGUUUCUUGCUCGAUUCGAAGAUACGCUUGGAUCUCCCUCGCCUGGUUUUUUUCUCCUUUUCCGGGUUCCUCCAACAUUCUCUAGGGAAGCAGAGCAAUCUUUAUUCGAAACCGGUAAGGAGUUAUUUUAUGCGACGACACUUGCAGAAAGCCGCGAGAUGUUUUGGGCUCCUUCCUUUUCCCUUUUUUCUAGAUUAUUUUUGGGCCGUCGAUAAACGUAUUGUUACUGAUCGAAGGCGUCCUUAUCCAGUUUCGCGUAAAUGUCUGUGCGUUUGAGGGUGGUUGUGCGCAUACAAGGUACACGAUUAGUCGUAAGGCAUGUUUUAUCCGGCAUAGGGCACUGCGCAUAUUCAUUCUUCUAUUUCGUACCUCAUACUAGCUGUCAGCGGGCAGCAAUCGUGGCGUCAUCGAAUGUGCUCGAUUAGAUAUGGACACAGCUUUUGCUAUAGCUACUACUGGGAAGAAAAAACCAUACACUUGGCAAACUUUUUCCUGGCACUCCUCGCACUCGUCCUUCUGGAUAUACUUACGCAUCGCCUACAUUGAGUCGAUUUCAUUUCACUCUGUAUAUGUUUCCCUUUUCACCUGCUUUCUCAUGCUGGGGCCACUCACCUGUCGUUCAGCAGUCCUUUUUUGACUACACCUUUUAUCCGAACGCCUUGUCUCUGCGCGCUUCUGGGUUAUUUCCAGUUUACUAUUUCGCACUCACAGAUCUGUACAAAAAUGAAAUACGAAAUCAGAGGACGAUAGAACCGGGUUGCGUCCGCAACCUGCUGACCCCUUAGACCGUCAAAAAGUCACUACAAUAUCGAAACUUGCUGUCUCCACGAUGGCCUGGUAGGCAAAUUUCGUCUACCUUCAUCGCCUUUGUUUCAUGAGACGUCUACUUCAUAUGUGUCAGUAUCACAGUGCUCUACUUUAGGAACCUUAACCUCUUUCCUACUAGUUCGAAAAUAGUGGCACAUACGAAAUGUAGGACGCGUGCCCGCGGCGAGGUCAGGGAUGAUUCAAACGCUGUUUGCUUCCAACCCAAUUUCCUUUUUUUUUCCGCUAUGCUUCCGCCCUCUCUGUUUUUCGUUAGAUCGCCCUUACCUUCUCUUUGAUAGUGGUGAGAAAAUGUAGUAAAUCCGAUAUAGUGUUCUCAGCUCCGCCUGAUUCAGGGGCUCCGCGUACUUUCAAUGUUGUUCGCAAGCCGGCACCCACAAAUCUUUAUUUCCUUGUUGUCCACAAGCCUCCAAAAUACUAAGAGACACGUAUAUUAUUCUCAAACUAGCAGCUCCAUUACCACAUACGCGGUAGUUUCGCAUAAUAUUUUGUGCUGAGCUUGUAGCCAGCCAUUUGCAAAGUUGAAUUGAUCUAUUAAGCAGAUCGUGAUCAACAGAAACGAUUCAUUCACACACGGCUAUGGCAUCAUUACACAAGCCUAUGUUAUUUCAUUGCAAAGAAAAGGCUGUUGUUUAUUCACGCAGAUCACCUUGUUGAUGCAUCAGUAUUGAAAGUUAUAGCAUUGAAGUUAAUGUAUGAACAACUAGUAUCGAUGUCUUCAUGUUCUUUUUCUAAAUUUAUACAAGACAGAGUCGCAGACGUCGCUUCGCGCCUGUAGCUAAUUAUAGUUAAUUAAAUCAUUCAGGACAGCCAACCUGAUGUAACCUGUAAGUUGGCUCUGCACGCAUCGUUAUUCCUAUCCAUGGCUUGCUCGACCUAUUCCGUUCCACUUUUCGGGUACUUGCAAUAUUCCUGCUGGGGUGUCGAAGCUUUUUACCUUGUCGGAGCUAUUCGAUCAGCAGGUUCUAUAAUUAUACUAAUGAAACUGGUUGCUGGUUUAUGUAGUAUUUCGGGGCAGUUCACCGGUAACACUGAUUUUUUGGUGUAGUUAUUUUGCAACUUUAUUCUAGUAAAUGGUUACUCCUCACAUAACUUAGAGCUUUGUUAAGAGUCAUUGCGAAGAUUUAUAUAUAUAUAUAUCUUCCCACAUGGAUAGACAGACAAGUGCACACCUUAGUCUCUAUAACGAAGCGCAUCGAAGUAGCAUUAAACCAUGUUUUAUAUGAUUUUUCAGUCUUUAUACCACGUUUGAACAGACCACAGUUAAAGGAGUCGAAUAAUUCAUGCAAGUGUUAGCUAUUGAAGAUUUAUAUUCCUAUCUGUGGUCGGUGCUUAAGCGUGCGUUGGAGCCCCUUAAGUUCAAUAUACUCAAAUAAGUUUCUGUAUCAGAAUUUUUAGUUACUCCAGUGAAUUUCAUUGUGCGCCUGAUAUAGUGCCUAGCGUGUGUUUGCACUUUACUGGACGGCGAUUUAACGACUCGAAGUAAUCCCAUAUAUGUGGGAUACACCAUAUAUUUUCUAUACAUACAUAGUAUCAGCGGCCCGCAUCGAUGCUCGGAGUAAUGAGGAAACGAAAAAUUCGUGACUGCAAUCAUGUUUUCUGCUGAUCUCGGAAGGUCGUUUCUAGUCGAUAUACCAAGUAGCAAGUUGUAAGGAACCUUCAAGGGAACUUGCGUUAUUGAUAUUCAAUAAAGCAUUGCAAUUGCCUAUUAUAUAAUAUUAUUACUAUAAUUUAAUAACAGAUUCAGUAUUUACAUUAUAAUGUGUACUUUUCAGCUCGAAUGGCUCACCUGCGCCACCUGUUGGGCGGUCGCGGCGGCGCCAUCUAACCCUACGAUCAUGUCACCGAUAUGCUAGCGUAGAACGUUCGAUGACCAUUCGCUGCCACUUAUAUUAUGGUUAUCAUUAUAGUAUUGCUUACGUUCUAAUAACAAUAAUAAUUAUAUGCUAAUUAUAAUAGAUUGGUCUCUCUAUCCGUUUCGGAGUCAGCGUUCGGUCGAUGCUUUAAUGUCGCUCACAGGAGCGCCACGUUGACGUGCUCACUGUGUCGCUGUCAAGAUCCUGUGAGUCGACCCGCUUUCGUCAGGGCCUUCUUUCGUUUGUCAGUCGUGUGGUCCCCAUUUGGCCCGAGCCUUGACUCCUGUGG